This 133-nucleotide non-coding RNA is filed under the name uncultured eukaryote. The record is from RNAcentral.
AAAGGAAUGAAACGAAAAAGGGUUGGUUGGGUUAAAAAAUGAAGACAUUUUUUUAACCGAGUUUUUUUUCUUUUUUCUAUGAAACCCCCAUCACUGUCUUUUUCUUUUUCUUUUUUGUUCACUUUCUCUGUCU